AUGAGUUCUUCGUCAUCUUCAUCUGGCGACGAUGAACUCAUACUUGCAGCAUUCGCCGAGCGCGAGGAGGAAGAGAGGAAGAACGCUCGACGCCAUGGCGGUUCCAAGCAUGGACGUCAGUCAAUCGAUCGAGGAAGAGAUGCCGGAUUUCUUCUUCUGUGGGACGACUACUUCAAAGAGGUUCCUCGCUUUCCCGAACAUUUGUUUCGACGAAGGUUCGUAAUUAGUACACUUCUCUGCUUUGCUAGCCGAAGGCCAAACUCCUCCAGUGAAUUAUAG
RNAcentral lists this ribosomal RNA (279 nucleotides) under Triticum aestivum (bread wheat). RNAcentral's name for it is "partial small subunit ribosomal RNA". Lineage: Eukaryota; Viridiplantae; Streptophyta; Magnoliopsida; Poales; Poaceae. The record is from RNAcentral.